CUCAGGAUGAACGCUGGCGGCGUGCCUAAUACAUGCAAGUCGAGCGAACGGACGAGAAGCUUGCUUCUCUGAUGUUAGCGGCGGACGGGUGAGUAACACGUGGAUAACCUACCUAUAAGACUGGGAUAACUUCGGGAAACCGGAGCUAAUACCGGAUAAUAUUUUGAACCGCAUGGUUCAAAAGUGAAAGACGGUCUUGCUGUCACUUAUAGAUGGAUCCGCGCUGCAUUAGCUAGUUGGUAAGGUAACGGCUUACCAAGGCAACGAUGCAUAGCCGACCUGAGAGGGUGAUCGGCCACACUGGAACUGAGACACGGUCCAGACUCCUACGGGAGGCAGCAGUAGGGAAUCUUCCGCAAUGGGCGAAAGCCUGACGGAGCAACGCCGCGUGAGUGAUGAAGGUCUUCGGAUCGUAAAACUCUGUCAUUAGGGAAGAACAUAUGUGUAAGUAACUGUGCACAUCUUGACGGUACCUAAUCAGAAAGCCACGGCUAACUACGUGCCAGCAGCCGCGGUAAUACGUAGGUGGCAAGCGUUAUCCGGAAUUAUUGGGCGUAAAGCGCGCGUAGGCGGUUUUUUAAGUCUGAUGUGAAAGCCCACGGCUCAACCGUGGAGGGUCAUUGGAAACUGGAAAACUUGAGUGCAGAAGAGGAAAGUGGAAUUCCAUGUGUAGCGGUGAAAUGCGCAGAGAUAUGGAGGAACACCAGUGGCGAAGGCGACUUUCUGGUCUGUAACUGACGCUGAUGUGCGAAAGCGUGGGGAUCAAACAGGAUUAGAUACCCUGGUAGUCCACGCCAUAAACGAUGAGUGCUAAGUGUUAGGGGGUUUCCGCCCCUUAGUGCUGCAGCUAACGCAUUAAGCACUCCGCCUGGGGAGUACGACCGCAAGGUUGAAACUCAAAGGAAUUGACGGGGACCCGCACAAGCGGUGGAGCAUGUGGUUUAAUUCGAAGCAACGCGAAGAACCUUACCAAAUCUUGACAUCCUUUGACAACUCUAGAGAUAGAGCCUUCCCCUUCGGGGGACAAAGUGACAGGUGGUGCAUGGUUGUCGUCAGCUCGUGUCGUGAGAUGUUGGGUUAAGUCCCGCAACGAGCGCAACCCUUAAGCUUAGUUGCCAUCAUUAAGUUGGGCACUCUAAGUUGACUGCCGGUGACAAACCGGAGGAAGGUGGGGAUGACGUCAAAUCAUCAUGCCCCUUAUGAUUUGGGCUACACACGUGCUACAAUGGACAAUACAAAGGGCAGCGAAACCGCGAGGUCAAGCAAAUCCCAUAAAGUUGUUCUCAGUUCGGAUUGUAGUCUGCAACUCGACUACAUGAAGCUGGAAUUGCUAGUAAUCGUAGAUCAGCACGCUACGGUGAAUACGUUCCCGGGUCUUGUACACACCGCCCGUCACACCACGAGAGUUUGUAACACCCGAAGCCGGUGGAGUAACCUUUUAGGAGCUAGCCGUCGAAGGUGGGAC
RNAcentral lists this ribosomal RNA (1465 nucleotides) under uncultured organism. Its description in RNAcentral is "16S ribosomal RNA". It matches the Rfam family "Bacterial small subunit ribosomal RNA". The record is from RNAcentral.